UAUGACCAUAUCAUAUUGAAACACCACUUCUCAUACCAGCACCGAAGUUAAGCAAUGUUAAGCCUGAUUAGUACCUAGAUGGGUGGCCACUUGUGAAUACGAGGUGCUGUAAG
Acanthosepion pharaonis is the source of this 113-nucleotide non-coding RNA. The record is from the annotation of a GenBank genome assembly. NCBI's taxonomy places the organism in Eukaryota, Metazoa, Mollusca, Cephalopoda, Sepiida, Sepiidae.